This 497-nucleotide ribosomal RNA is filed under the name uncultured bacterium. Its description in RNAcentral is "partial 16S ribosomal RNA". It matches the Rfam family "Bacterial small subunit ribosomal RNA", at positions 28 to 507 of the family's 1533-position model. The record is from RNAcentral.
GACGAACGCUGGCGGCGUGCCUAAUACAUGCAAGUUGAGCGCUGAAGGUUGGUACUUGUACCAACUGGAUGAGCAGCGAACGGGUGAGUAACGCGUGGGGAAUCUGCCCUUGAGCGGGGGACAACAUUUGGAAACGAAUGCUAAUACCGCAUAAAAACUUUAAACACAAGUUUUAAGUUUGAAAGAUGCAAUUGCAUCACUCAAAGAUGAUCCCGCGUUGUAUUAGCUAGUUGGUGAGGUAAAGGCUCACCAAGGCGAUGAUACAUAGCCGACCUGAGAGGGUGAUCGGCCACAUUGGGACUGAGACACGGCCCAAACUCCUACGGGAGGCAGCAGUAGGGAAUCUUCGGCAAUGGACGAAAGUCUGACCGAGCAACGCCGCGGGAGUGAAGAAGGUUUUCGGAUCGUAAAACUCUGUUGGUAGAGAAGAACGUUGGUGAGAGUGGAAAGCUCAUCAAGUGACGGUAACUACCCAGAAAGGGACGGCUAACUACGUG